GACAGAGGGUGCGAACGUUGUUCGGAAUUACUGGGCGUAAAGCGCGUGUAGGCGGCAACGCAAGUCGGGCGUGAAAUCCCACGGCUCAACCGUGGAAGUGCACUCGAAACUGCGUAGCUAGAGUCCUGGAGAGGAAGGUGGAAUGCUUGGUGUAGCGGUGAAAUGCGCAGAUAUCAGGAGGAACACCAAUUGCGAAGGCAGCUCGCUGGGACGUUACUGACGCUGAGACGCGAAAGCGUGGGGAGCAAACAGG
Molecule: ribosomal RNA, 253 nt
Filed under: uncultured bacterium
Lineage: Bacteria
Description: partial 16S ribosomal RNA
Rfam family: Bacterial small subunit ribosomal RNA
Source: RNAcentral